UAUUGCUUUGAGGCGCAGUCACUGCAGUGCGUGCCGCUGCUUGCAACGAGAUGCACCUGACCAUUCGUUGAUUGUUGAUCCUUACAAGUAAGAUUGAUUCGUUUUAAUUCAGAGAAGUUAACAUAACCAAUUAAUUUAAUAUUCAGCUAUAAACACAUUGUUAAGGUUUUCCUCUUCAUCUCUUAUCAGGCUCAUUGGUCUUUAGUAAAAAUUAACAAAUAUGAACACAACGGAUUUAAACGCCCUUGCAAUUGAAGCUCUACUCAAUGAAGCAAAACUUGGUGCGCAAAGAGCUGAAAUAAUGGGACCAUCAGGAUGGGUAAAAC
Long non-coding RNA from Polistes canadensis, 326 nucleotides. RefSeq lists it as uncharacterized. The record is from RefSeq and is a predicted model, not a curated record. NCBI's taxonomy places the organism in Eukaryota, Metazoa, Arthropoda, Insecta, Hymenoptera, Vespidae. The transcript is spliced from 3 exons.